AACGAACGCUGGCGGCAGGCCUAACACAUGCAAGUCGAGCGGUAGAGAGGUGCUUGCAUCUCUUGAGAGCGGCGGACGGGUGAGUAAUGCCUAGGAAUCUGCCUAGUGUGGGGGAUAACGUUCGGAAACGGACGCUAAUACCGCAUACGUCCUACGGGAGAAAGCGGGGGAUCUUCGGACCUCGCGCCAUUAGAUGAGCCUAGGUCGGAUUAGCUAGUUGGUGAGGUAAUGGCUCACCAAGGCGACGAUCCGUAACUGGUCUGAGAGGAUGAUCAGUCACACUGGAACUGAGACACGGUCCAGACUCCUACGGGAGGCAGCAGUGGGGGAAUUUUGGACAAUGGGCGCAAGCCUGAUCCAGCAAUGCCGCGUGCAGGAUGAAGGCCUCGGUUGUAA
This 396-nucleotide ribosomal RNA is filed under the name uncultured bacterium. RNAcentral's name for it is "bacterial SSU rRNA". It matches the Rfam family "Bacterial small subunit ribosomal RNA", at positions 29 to 428 of the family's 1533-position model. The record is from RNAcentral.